This 86-nucleotide transfer RNA is filed under the name Oscillospiraceae bacterium. RNAcentral's name for it is "tRNA-Leu". It matches the Rfam family "tRNA". Rfam says of the family: Transfer RNA (tRNA) molecules are approximately 80 nucleotides in length. Their secondary structure includes four short double-helical elements and three loops (D, anti-codon, and T loops). Lineage: Bacteria; Bacillati; Bacillota; Clostridia; Eubacteriales; Oscillospiraceae. The record is from RNAcentral.
GCCGCUGUGGUGGAAUGGUAGACACAGGGGACUUAAAAUCCCCCGGUAGCGAUACUGUACGGGUUCGAGUCCCGUCAGCGGCACCA